CCUACGGGUGGCAGCAGUGGGGAAUAUUGGACAAUGGGGGGAACCCUGAUCCAGCCAUGCCGCGUGUGUGAAGAAGGCCCUCGGGUUGUAAAGCACUUUCAGUGAGGAAGAACGCCUGGUGGUUAAUACCCAUCAGGAAAGACAUCACUCACAGAAGAAGCAUCGGCUAACUCCGUGCCAGCAGCCGCGGUAAUACGGAGGGUGCGAGCGUUAAUCGGAAUUACUGGGCGUAAAGCGCGCGUAGGUGGCUUGAUAAGCCGGUUGUGAAAGCCCCGGGCUCAACCUGGGAACGGCAUCCGGAACUGUCAAGCUAGAGUGCAGGAGAGGAAGGUAGAAUUCCCGGUGUAGCGGUGAAAUGCGUAGAGAUCGGGAGGAAUACCAGUGGCGAAGGCGGCCUUCUGGACUGACACUGACACUGAGGUGCGAAAGCGUGGGUAGCAAACAGGAUUAGAUACCCUUGUAGUC
Molecule: ribosomal RNA, 465 nt
Filed under: Vreelandella stevensii
Lineage: Bacteria; Pseudomonadati; Pseudomonadota; Gammaproteobacteria; Oceanospirillales; Halomonadaceae
Description: partial 16S ribosomal RNA
Rfam family: Bacterial small subunit ribosomal RNA
Source: RNAcentral